UGCGGGGUGGAGCAGCUUGGUAGCUCGUCGGGCUCAUAACCCGAAGGUCAUAGGUUCAAAUCCUGUCCCCGCUACCA
RNAcentral lists this transfer RNA (77 nucleotides) under Oceanospirillaceae bacterium. RNAcentral describes it as "tRNA-Met". It matches the Rfam family "tRNA". Rfam says of the family: Transfer RNA (tRNA) molecules are approximately 80 nucleotides in length. Their secondary structure includes four short double-helical elements and three loops (D, anti-codon, and T loops). Further hydrogen bonds mediate the characteristic L-shaped molecular structure. tRNAs have two regions of fundamental functional importance: the anti-codon, which is responsible for specific mRNA codon recognition, and the 3' end, to which the tRNAs corresponding amino acid is attached (by aminoacyl-tRNA synthetases). tRNAs cope with the degeneracy of the genetic code in two manners: having more than one tRNA (with a specific anti-codon) for a particular amino acid; and 'wobble' base-pairing, i.e. permitting non-standard base-pairing at the 3rd anti-codon position. The record is from RNAcentral. Lineage: Bacteria; Pseudomonadati; Pseudomonadota; Gammaproteobacteria; Oceanospirillales; Oceanospirillaceae. RNAcentral also lists the same sequence under 1 other name.